AUAGUUAAUGUUCCUUUGAUUGCUCCAACGUUACUUGGAUUACUGAAGCAAUUUUAGAGCCUAUACAUGCCAACAAAGUACUGAAAUUUGCUGAUGCAUGCAUUUAUUCAGACCCCAAAACCUUGUGGAGUACUCUCUUGGGCACCACAGACAUUUUUGGUGACUCAAUAACCCUGACCAGUGUCUAAUUUCAAUGUCUGCCCUAUCACCUUUCAAUGGUACUUUCUGUGCAUGCCAUGGUGACCACAGGUAACGGGGAAUCAGGGUUACAGUGCA
RNAcentral lists this non-coding RNA (276 nucleotides) under Salmo salar (Atlantic salmon). RNAcentral's name for it is "Eukaryotic small subunit ribosomal RNA". It matches the Rfam family "Eukaryotic small subunit ribosomal RNA", at positions 106 to 385 of the family's 1831-position model. Lineage: Eukaryota; Metazoa; Chordata; Actinopteri; Salmoniformes; Salmonidae. The record is from Rfam by way of RNAcentral.